Molecule: ribosomal RNA, 434 nt
Filed under: uncultured bacterium
Lineage: Bacteria
Description: partial 16S ribosomal RNA
Rfam family: Bacterial small subunit ribosomal RNA
Source: RNAcentral
AGUGAACGCUGGCGGCAUGCCUAAUACAUGCAAGUCGAACGAACCUUUCGGGGUUAUUCUCGUACGGGUUAGUAACACGAGGGAACGUUCCCUUAUGUUCAGACUAACUCUGGGAAACUUGUACUUAUACCGAAUGUGCCCUUCUAGGGAAUGAUUAAUCGCCUUUAGAGCUGCCCUCGUCUGAUUAGCUAGUUGGUUGAGGUAAUGGCUCACCAAGGCGACGAUCAGUAGCUGGUCUGAGAGGAUGAUCAGCCACAUUGGGACUGAGACACGGCACAAACUCCUACGGGAGGCAGCAGUGGGGAACCUUGCGCAAUGGGCGAAAGCCUGACGCAGCCAUGCCGCGUGAAUGAUGAAGGUCUUAGGAUUGUAAAAUUCUUUCACCGGGGAAGAUAAUGACGGUACCCGGAGAAAAAGCCCCGGCUAACUUCGUG